RNAcentral lists this ribosomal RNA (253 nucleotides) under uncultured bacterium. RNAcentral's name for it is "partial 16S ribosomal RNA". It matches the Rfam family "Bacterial small subunit ribosomal RNA", at positions 524 to 776 of the family's 1533-position model. The record is from RNAcentral.
UACGUAGGGUGCGAGCGUUGUCCGGAAUUAUUGGGCGUAAAGAGCUUGUAGGCGGUCUGUCGCGUCUGCUGUGAAAAUCCGGGGCUCAACCCCGGACUUGCAGUGGGUACGGGCAGACUAGAGUGUGGUAGGGGAGACUGGAAUUCCUGGUGUAGCGGUGAAAUGCGCAGAUAUCAGGAGGAACACCGAUGGCGAAGGCAGGUCUCUGGGCCGAUAUUGACGCUGAGGAGCGAAAGCGUGGGGAGCGAACAGG